CGAACGGGUGAGUAAUGCGUGACCAACCUGCCCCAUGCUCCAGAAUAGCUCUUGGAAACGGGUGGUAAUGCUGGAUGCUCCAACUUGACGCAUGUCUUGUUGGGAAAGUGUUUAGUGGCAUGGGAUGGGGUCGCGUCCUAUCAGCUUGUAGGUGGGGUAAUGGCCCACCUAGGCUUCGACGGGUAGCCGGCCCGAGAGGGCGGACGGCCACAUUGGGACUGAGAUACGGCCCAGACUCCUACGGGAGGCAGCAGCG
Molecule: ribosomal RNA, 256 nt
Filed under: uncultured Gardnerella sp.
Lineage: Bacteria; Bacillati; Actinomycetota; Actinomycetes; Bifidobacteriales; Bifidobacteriaceae
Description: partial 16S ribosomal RNA
Rfam family: Bacterial small subunit ribosomal RNA
Source: RNAcentral